Molecule: ribosomal RNA, 439 nt
Filed under: uncultured Ohtaekwangia sp.
Lineage: Bacteria; Pseudomonadati; Bacteroidota; Cytophagia; Cytophagales; Fulvivirgaceae
Description: bacterial SSU rRNA
Rfam family: Bacterial small subunit ribosomal RNA
Source: RNAcentral
CCUACGGGUGGCAGCAGUAGGGAAUAUUGGUCAAUGGAUGCAAGUCUGAACCAGCCAUGCCGCGUGCAGGAAGAAGGCCUUCUGGGUUGUAAACUGCUUUUGCCGGGGGAUAAAAAGCUCAUGCGUGAGCAAUUGAAGGUACCCGGUGAAUAAGCCACGGCUAACUACGUGCCAGCAGCCGCGGUAAUACGUAGGUGGCAAGCGUUGUCCGGAUUUAUUGGGUUUAAAGGGUGCGUAGGCGGCCUAUUAAGUCAGUUCUGAAAUAUCCCGGCUUAACCGGGAGGGUGGGAUUGAUACUGAUGGGCUUGAGUGGAUUCGAGGUAGGCGGAAUUGACGGUGUAGCGGUGAAAUGCUUAGAUAUCGUCAAGAACACCGAUAGUGUAGACAGCUUACUAGACUUCAACUGACGCUGAGGCACGAAAGUGUGGGGAUCAAACAG